This 271-nucleotide ribosomal RNA is filed under the name uncultured archaeon. Its description in RNAcentral is "partial 16S ribosomal RNA". It matches the Rfam family "Archaeal small subunit ribosomal RNA", at positions 91 to 367 of the family's 1478-position model. The record is from RNAcentral.
CAGUACACAUAGUUAACUUAACCUAUGGAUGGGAUAACCUCGGGAAACUGAAAUAAUACCCAAUGGGCCACAGUGCCUGGAAUGGCUGUGGUUGAAAUGAUUAUCGCGUAGGAUAGGACUGCGGCCUAUCAGCUUGUUGGUGAGGUAAUGGCCACCAAGGCUAUAACAGGUACGGGCUCUGAGAGGAGGGGCCCGGCAGAUGGGUACUGAGACACGGACCCAGACCCUAUGGGGCGCAGCAGGCGAGAAACCUUUGCAAUGUGCGAAAGCA